GCGGAAUUCAUGGUGUAGCGGUGAAAUGCUUAGAUAUCAUGACGAACUCCGAUUGCGAAGGCAGCGUACGGGAGUGUUACUGACGCUUAAGCUCGAAGGUGCGGGUAUCGAACAGGAUUAGAUACCCUGGUAGUCCGCACGGUAAACGAUGGAUGCCCGCUGUUAGCGCCUGGCGUUAGCGGCUAAGCGAAAGCAUUAAGCAUCCCACCUGGGGAGUACGCCGGCAACGGUGAAACUCAAAGGAAUUGACGGGGGCCCGCACAAGCGGAGGAACAUGUGGUUUAAUUCGAUGAUACGCGAGGAACCUUACCCGGGCUUGAAUUGCAGACGCAGGAUACAGAGAUGUUGA
This 349-nucleotide ribosomal RNA is filed under the name uncultured bacterium. RNAcentral's name for it is "bacterial SSU rRNA". It matches the Rfam family "Bacterial small subunit ribosomal RNA", at positions 661 to 1012 of the family's 1533-position model. The record is from RNAcentral.